RNAcentral lists this ribosomal RNA (343 nucleotides) under uncultured bacterium. RNAcentral describes it as "bacterial SSU rRNA". It matches the Rfam family "Bacterial small subunit ribosomal RNA", at positions 43 to 396 of the family's 1533-position model. The record is from RNAcentral.
GGCCGCGGGAAUUCGAUUCAGGCCUAACACAUGCAAGUCGAGCGCCCCGCAAGGGGAGCGGCGGACGGGUGAGUAACACGUGGGAAUUUUCCUCAAGGUACGGAACAACUCAGGGGAACUUGGGCUAAUACCGUAUGAUGCAGAGAUGCCAAAGAUUUAUCGCCUUGGGAUAAGCCCGCGUCGGAUUAGGUAGUUGGUGGGGUAAUGGCCUACCAAGCCUGUGAUCUGUAGCUGGUCUGAGAGGACGAUCAGCCACAUUGGGACUGAGACACGGCCCAAACUCCUACGGGAGGCAGCAGUGGGGAAUCUUUCACAGUGGGCGAAAGCCUGACGCAGCCAUGCC